RNAcentral lists this ribosomal RNA (464 nucleotides) under uncultured bacterium. Its description in RNAcentral is "partial 16S ribosomal RNA". It matches the Rfam family "Bacterial small subunit ribosomal RNA", at positions 339 to 795 of the family's 1533-position model. The record is from RNAcentral.
CUACGGGUCGCAGCAGUGGGGAAUAUUGCACAAUGGGCGCAAGCCUGAUGCAGCCAUGCCGCGUGUAUGAAGAAGGCCUUCGGGUUGUAAAGUACUUUCAGCGGGGAGGAAGGGAGUAAAGUUAAUACCUUUGCUCAUUGACGUUACCCGCAGAAGAAGCACCGGCUAACUCCGUGCCAGCAGCCGCGGUAAUACGGAGGGUGCAAGCGUUAAUCGGAAUUACUGGGCGUAAAGCGCACGCAGGCGGUUUGUUAAGUCAGAUGUGAAAUCCCCGGGCUCAACCUGGGAACUGCAUCUGAUACUGGCAAGCUUGAGUCUCGUAGAGGGGGGUAGGAUUCCAGGUGUAGCGGUGAAAUGCGUAGAGAUCUGGAGGAAUACCGGUGGCGAAGGCGGCCCCCUGGACGAAGACUGACGCUCAGGUGCGAAAGCGUGGGGAGCAAACAGGAUUAGAUACCCCAGUAGUC